CUACCCUAUGUGCAGACACCUCAGAUGUGUGACCCUUCCCCUUCCCAUUGCCUUUGUCACCAAGCCCCACCAAGCACCAAAUGGUUUGUCCAAUCAAAAUAGAGCCCUAAACAGAACACAAAACAGUGCCACAAGGAAAUGCUAAGCCCCUUCUCUGUCUUCCAGGUUGUCCGAAACCAGUGAUUAAACCUAUCUGUUGUCCGAAGCCAGUGAUUGAACCUAUCUGUAUUCCGCAGCCAGUGAUUAAACCUGUCUGUUGUCCGAAGCCAGUGAUUAAACCUAUCUGUUGUCCGAAGCCAGUGAUUGAACCUAUCUGUUGUCCGCAACCAGUGACUGAACCUAUCUGUUGUCCGCAGCCAGUGAUUGAACCUGUCUGUUGUCCGAAGCCAGUGCCUGAACCUGUCUGUUGUCCGGAGCCAGUGAUUGAUGCUAACUGUUGUCCGCAGCCAGUGAUUGAUCCUAACUGCCCGUGUUCGAUGCCAUUAAGUCCUGUGACCGAAUGCACAGCAGUCAUCACAGACCCAGGUGCAGACUUCCCACCCUUUCUGUUAGUAGCUCACAUCUUCAGGUGCCAGUUGCUACCUGAAACUGUACUGUACAGAGAUCAAAUGUUGACGAUGAAUGCAGAAUUCAAGGGCCAUCUCACCAGUCUAUUGCAAUAUCCCCACCUGUCCCUCACCCCAAACUUAAAAUACAGAAUGUUUACCAAGGCUAAAAACUCAAGAUGCUCAGCAGGCAUCAUAAAUGAGUGUGCUGAGGAGAACCCCAGAGCUGUGGCGAAUGGGGUCAGGAGGCUACGUGGUCUGAAGAGGCUGUUACACUCACCCUAUUGAUUCAUGAGAACAAAAUGCAGAUGCAGAGUUGACCCACAACUGGGGUGAAAUGUCCCAAUGUUUAACCAUGAUACGUAUCUGUAUCCAUCAGGUAGAUGGCAAAAACCCAUCUUCCAACCAAGCUCACCCCAGUAGUUUCUACUAGUCGAAUUUUAAUGAUUUCAGUGUUAGGACAAAGGGGCUGGUUUGAUGGAUUGGGGUUGAUGCUAUUGACAUAGGACGCCUUAGUGCCUCUCUGAAGUCCCCAUCCACCUAUGCCUCCCAUGUCCUCAGCAGACAGGCAGAUCAGACAAUUCUCACUGCACGAUGAACACAUCAUCAAAACUCAGGCCCAAGGAUGAACUGGAAACUCCAGAUGUCCCAGAUUAGGCACGGGACCUUGUGUCAGCCACUUUUUUCCUAUGUUGUGACAGAAAAUGUCUUCAGGAAGAAGGCUUUAUUUUGGCUGAGGAUUUAAGGGUAGUCCAGAAUGCCAGGAAGGAAGUCAGGGUGACAGAUGUGUGGGGCAGCUAGCUGGUCACAUGGCUUCUGCAGUCAGGAAGCAGAGAGGAGUACUGAUGACAGCACACUUUCUCCUCUUUUCAUUCAGUCCAAGACUGCAGCCCAUGGGAGGUGACAUCCACAUUCAGUGUGGGUCUUGCCUCCUCUGGAAGUCCUGUGGAGCUGGGGAGCUACCUCUCUUAACUUAAAAGACAGUGUGUACUACUCUUGCAGCAGACCAGAGUCUGAGUCCCAGCACCCACAUCUGGUGGUUCAUAACCACCACAACUCCAUCUCCAUGGGAUCCAAUGCCACUGGCCUCCAAAAAAGGCCUGCACUCAUAUACACAUUCCCACACACUGACAUAUAAUUUUUUUAAAAAGCUACUGGGAACAUCUGGUUGAUACACCCAGAAGUGUGUCUCCUGCCUGAUUCUAAAUCAAGUUGAUAAUGAAGCGAACCAUCACAGACCCUGUAGCUAGAAACAGGAACACAAGCCCACAGACCUACAGCUGGGAACAGGAACACAGACCUACAUCUGGGAACACAGGUCACUUGAAGUAAACAGAAGCUCUUGCCCCUGAAAAUGAGAAGCCGGAAUCCAAACUGAAUAAACAAUGCUCUUUUUAGUGGAGGUACCAGAGAAGCUAGGUAGAAAAGGCAAGUAAAGCCAUGACACGGGGUUUCUGAAGGCAUAAAGGCAUGCCAAAGCAACCUGGACACUGCCAUUUCCUUUUUACUAGCUUAGUCUUGUCUGGCUUUCAGCACAAAUGUGAGGCAUAGACUGGUUUAGAGGAGGUGGAGGAAGAAGAAGAAAAGCCCGUAAAUCUAUGAAGAAAUCCAAGUCUGAGAAGAAAGAUCAAUCUGAGGAGGACUGAGACAAGAAAUUAUUUACUCUCAAGUGUGCCAGGGUUAGCAUGCUUAGCAGACAUAGAUGGCACAUGCUGCAGGAUAUAUAUUUAAUCUGUGUUGGCCUACUCUGUCCAGGCCUGGUCCUAAGAACUGGUGCUGAUCCAGUGAGUAGUGUCUCUUCACUCAAGAUCCUAUUUUGAGAUUUUAAAAAGUAAGGGAGGCUGCAGAACUGUCUCAGCAGUUAAGAGCACUAGCUACUCUUGCAGGAGACCUGAGUUCACUUCCCAGCACCCACAAGGUGGCUCACAACCUUUCAUAAUUGUACUCCAGGGGAUCCAACACCGUGUCCCGGCCUAAGAAUCUUCUUCUUAUGUAAACAUACGGUGUGUGUGUGAAAAGAAAACUCCAUGUCUGAAUCAGAAGUCUUCCAGAGAAACCCAGUGAGGGAUACAUCUGAUGUUAAUUAACAAACAGUUAAUACUUAAACCACUGAGCCAGUAGAGUGUAGUGGCUCAUGCCUAUAAUCUCACCACUCAGAAGGCUGAAGCAGGAAGAUGGCAAGUUUGAUGCCAACAUGGGCUACAUAGAGAGAUACCUAUGAUGAUGAUGAUGAUGAUGGUGAUGAUGGUGAUGAUAUAAAGAACAGGAGGACAGGGAGGAGUGGCAGACAUGGAGAGAAGACGACUGAAAUACACUGAACAUCAAAGGUUCACUCAAAGAUGGAGAGCUAAGGGUUGUGCUGAAGACUGUCAGUUUUGGACACAGAAGAAAGAUCUGGGGACAGACAUGAAGGAGUGAGUGCAGAGACAACUGCAAGAAGGGGCCAAGGGUCCUACAGAGCCAUCUUUCCAAGCUGGAGAGAAUAUGGCUUUGGGGUGAAGAGUUGGGGACAUAUUUUACAAAAUAGAAGUCAUUGCUAACCUUGACAGGAUAACGGGGGAAGGUUAAGGAAACGGUGACUUUGCAAACGCAAAGAAGAGGGUGCAUUCUGGGUCACAUGGCAGAGCACAGAAGGGACACCACAAAGCAGCAUUCUGGGUGACAAAAUACUAUGCAAUGAAGAUACUUGAAUAGAAUAUUCAAAUAAAUAUGUAAAAAUAGCUUGUAGAAGGAAAAGGCAGAUAAGUGUAAAGAAAGGCCAAGGAAAGAAAGGCAGACAGACAGACAGACAGGAUGGAGGGGCCAGGAGAUAGCUCCAUCACUUAAGUGAGAAUUCUCAUUCUCAGCAAUUUAUUAUUAAACUGAAGACAUACAUCAGGAGCAGUGGUACAUGUCUGUGAUCCCAGCACUCAAGAGACUGGGCAGUGGUGGUGGAUUAAAGUGCUCCUUUAAUGCCAGCACUUGGGAGGCAGAGACAGGCAGAUCUCUGUGAGUUUGAGGCCAGCCUGGUCUACAGAGUGAGUGCCAGGACAGCUAGGGCCACACAGAGAAACCCUGUCUUGAAGCCCAGAGAGACAGAGAGAGAGAGAGAGAGAGAGAGAGAGAGAGAGAGAGAGAGAGAGAGAGAGAGAGAGAGAGAAAGAGAGAUAGAAAGAGAGAGAAAGAGGGAGAAUGAAGCAAGAGGAUGUAAAUUUAAGUCUAACCUGAGCUACACAGCAAGACCUUAACCACCUACCCCCCCACAAAGAAAAAAACUAGAUCCAUGCAGAACCUAUUUAUUCCACUUUACAAUGCAAAUGCAAGAAAGACACCUGUGUGUUCCUGAAAGAACACACAUACAAGGGUUGUGAAAUGGUUAAUAAUAAAAAUAGGCACAGAUUUAAAUGUAGUGAGCAUCCGUUUCUACGUUUAUGUGACUGAGGAAAUUCCCAGAUUAGAGUAUUAAAUGAUACUUAACAAAGUUUUUAAAAGAUGACUCAUGUAAAUUAAAACAAAAAGUAAAGCUUAACAUGACAGGGAUGAAGUUUUUACUUACUGAAAACACGCCUAACUAAUGACAGCGGCUGCCUUGAAGAGCAGGGGGAGAGAUGGACCUGGGAUCCAUGUUCAAAGGCAGUUAGUUCUCUAUAACAUGUUUUUCUCAAAACAAAUGAGCUCCCUAGUAACUGUGACAAAUGUCCUAUAAUAGGUGGUGAGCAUCGGUACUUGGGCCAUUAGCUUGAAUGCAUUUUUUUUAUUUCUCAAAGCAAUAAAGGGGCAAAUAAAGCAAUCACACCCCAAGGAGGCAGUCCUAGAAUAACUGAGCUCCUGCAGAAGAUCCAAACUUCUGUGUUUCCAAGACAGAGGAGGGUCAAUUCCUCUUCAUUCACUAGUGAUAACAACAACCCUGCUGUGGUUUCCUCUGUCCCUCGUGAGAUUUGAAGGCAUCCCACUUCCAGAACUGAAGCCCUUUCCAGUCACAGGUGCAGUUCUCAGAUGCUGACAAACCCAGUGCCUCAAAGAGCCUGGAAUUCACAAGAAACAGGUUUCUAACCCAUAGCAAUACUGUCACAAAGCCCGAGAGAGCCUAAGUUCAGACUCCCAUCUGUGAACAAAAAGGCAUGGGCACACUCAGGAAAAUCACGUUCCCAUUUAACCAGGUGGCUUGGCAGGUGAAGGCUCUUGCUGCCAAGCCUGAAUAUCUGAAUUCCAUCCCAGGGCACACAUGGUGGAAAGAGAGAACCAGCUCUGACAAAUUGUCCUCUGAUGCUGGCAAGUGAGCAUCAAAUGACAAAUGACAGUGGCGGAUCAAGAAAACAGCUCAACUCAGCACAGCUUAAGACAUGGGGCAUUUCCUAACUUAGAGACCAGAUUGGGUGGGAGGGGAAUCAAGGACCUAUCUCUAGCCCUGGACCCUUCUUUCCAUGGCAUUCAGAGACAACGCCACCCUACUGAACCUCCCCUCUUAGUCAGCUUGCAAGACUCAUCUAGAGGUCACACAAAGGAACAGAUAUUUCUGUUUCAUCAAAAACUAUACUAACAGUUUUGUCUUUUUCAUUAAAGCAAAACCUAGACCACCUAUAUUAGUGAGACAAGACACAGUUCAUGUAGCAGUGCCUGUCUGUUGCACGGAUAGAAAACUUCCCAAAAAGCCACUAGUAUGCAGGGAUUCUUUGAAGAAGAGCAGAUGCCAUCUGAAGAGUGAGUGUGGGACUCCAACGAGGUGCGACUCCCCCACCAGGAACAGAUCUGUACUGCUAGAGUGCGAGCCCCGUGAAAGAGAAAGAAAGUGUUCAGGUGGCGUUCUAAAGAGACGCGAUUCCCAGACAGGAAUUCCAAGAAGACUGGAAUCUCAAGUAAGGUUUGCCACAGGACCCGAUAAUGAAAUUUCAUCUAAAGCCCAUUGUUGUGAGCCACCAGUUUGCAGAAAUCGGGAAUCCCUCAGGAAGAAUGAGGACGGCAUACUGAAGAAACAGGAUUCACAGAGGACAAGGCCUAAGAAAUGCCGACUAGAACCACAAGAAAGGUGUGUUGUUCUGCCUCCUUGCUAUCAGCCAGGGGCACCUCCGGCUCCACGUGGGCCAUAGGGGCUUCCACUGUGAUCUUCAGGAUCAAGCUGUGUCCCUGCCCUCACCCCGGUGGAACACAGUUACAAAAUCCAUUUCCUCUAUACAUCUUCGUUUUCUGCUAUUCAGAAGUUUGCCGUUAUUAGACUUCCCUGACACAAACUACAUCUUCCAAAUUUUUUCUGUAAGCCAAUACGUAUAUCUACUCCAACGAAGAAAGACAGUGUUCUCAGAAAUAAAAUGUCUUUACUAAAUACCUAAUUAGUUCUUUUGACAGUGUUCUAUCUCUAGCUCACCCAGUUGACCUUAUGACCUUGAUGGCUGCAAAUGCUUUAUGAUCCACCAAAAAAAAAAAAAAAUACAUAGGAAAUAAAGUCAGACCUCCCGCAACCAAGCAGUUUAUGACAGAAAUGGUGGCCAUGUAAGCACAAUCAUUUUUUUAAGAGUCAAUUUUAAAAUGUGUCCAAAAGUAGUUUAAGUGGUCUGGAAAGAGUUUAGAGAUAAGAGAGUCAGAAAUCAGUCGGUAGAGCUUGGGACUCUUAAUCCCAGGGUCGUGGGUUCGAGCCCCACGUUGGGCGCCAAAAUGUUAUCUUUUGUUUAAAAAGAAUAGAAAUGCUGAGGCAUGACACAUAUUGACUAUAAGUUUAUUAUAGGCCCGGCAGAGUAUGGAGACUAAGAGAAGAAGAACAGGAUAAUGGCUGACCACCAUGGCCGGUUGCCAUAGAGAGACAGAGAGAGAGCAUAGGUGGGAGACAGAGUAGAGAGAAAGCAGAGACAAAGCAGAGCGGGGGAACAGAGAGAGGAAACAGAGAGCGUAAAUGGGCAGGGACCUGUCUUUUAAAGGGGUCCUCUGCACCUGCGCGCAGACUUAGUUCCCAUGGAACCUUGGGCUGACCAGGGUACUGCCUGUUCCACCAGGUAAUAGGGGCAGGCCAGCAUAAUGCCUGAACCUUUCAGGCAUAGCCCUGUGAGUCUGAGGUCAGCCUGGUCUACACAGCAGUUCCAGGCCAGCCAGAUAUACAUGGUGAAAUUCUACCUCACUACUACUAAUAAUAAUAAAUUAAAAUAAAAAUUUGAAAGUUCUUAUCUCCAGCAAGAGACAUAACCCAACAGGGGGCUGUGAGGGGUCCUCUCCGUUUCUCAUGUCCUCUUGAUUGCUGUCCUCCUGUCCUGCCUCAGAAAGAGAGGAAGCAGUUGGCUGGUGGCUCAUGUGCAACGCUGCCUUCAGCCAAACCUGAGGCCAGGACCCUCCCAAGUCCUGUGACCUCCAUACAUCGUACACGCACACAGACACACUCACACACAUGUGCACACACACGUGCACACACACGUGCACACAGAGACGCGUGCGCAAGCGCGCACACCACACACGUGCACACACGCACAGACACCACACACACACACCACACACGUGCACACACGCGCACAGACACCACACACGUGCACAUGCACUUGCGCGCACACACGCACGCGCAUCCACACGCCACAAGCACGUACACAUACACACGUAUUGACACUCACCACACACGCACAACACACACACACACACACACACACACACACACUCCCCGCCAUUGCCUUCUGCUCAUUUCCCAUUCACGCCCACCCGCGCCCCCUCCGCACCGCCCC
This 7219-nucleotide long non-coding RNA is filed under the name Cricetulus griseus (Chinese hamster). Its description in RNAcentral is "lncRNA (ENSCGRG00015033413.1)". The record is from RNAcentral. Lineage: Eukaryota; Metazoa; Chordata; Mammalia; Rodentia; Cricetidae.